RNAcentral lists this unclassified non-coding RNA (210 nucleotides) under plant metagenome. Its description in RNAcentral is "partial contains small subunit ribosomal RNA, internal transcribed spacer 1, and 5.8S ribosomal RNA". The record is from RNAcentral.
UCUCCGUUGGUGAACCAGCGGAGGGAUCAUUACUGGAAUCGCAAGAUCCCACAACCCCUGUGAACCUACCGAAGCGUUGCCUCGGCGGGCGCCCGCCCCCCCGCCGGGCGCUGAGCCCGCCGGCGGCCCCCCACUCUUCUCUCUGCAGCGUGGCAUCCCAGAGUCCCCGAAAACCAGUAAAAACUUUCAACAACGGAUCUCUUGGCUCUA